GCCGGGCGUUGUGGCGGGCGCCUGUGGUCCCAGCUACUUGGGAGGUGGAGGCAGGAGACUCGCUUGAGUCCAGGAGUUGGAGGUUGCUAUUAGAUGUAAUGCCACGGCACUCUACCCAGGGGGAUCGCUUGAGGCUCUGUCUCAAAAAAAAAAAAAAAAGAAAAGAAAAUUAACUUCAGCAUUUUUUUUUUUGAGACAGAGCCUCAAGCUAUCCCCCUAGGUAGAGUGCUCUGGCAUCACAGCUCACGGCAACCUCCAACUCCUGGGCUCAAGCGAGUCUCCUGCCUCAG
Molecule: non-coding RNA, 290 nt
Organism: Otolemur garnettii (small-eared galago)
Lineage: Eukaryota; Metazoa; Chordata; Mammalia; Primates; Galagidae
Source: Rfam